This 3443-nucleotide long non-coding RNA is filed under the name Homo sapiens (human). RNAcentral describes it as "HSALNT0250379". The record is from RNAcentral. Lineage: Eukaryota; Metazoa; Chordata; Mammalia; Primates; Hominidae.
GUUUUGCUCUUUUUGCCCAGGAUGGAGUGCAAUGGCACAAUCUCGGCUCACUGCAACCUCUGCCUUCGGGGUUCAAACAAUUCUCCUGCCUCAGCCUCCCAAGUAGCUGGGAUUACAGGCACCUGCCACCACACCCAGCUAAUUUUUUGUAUUUUUAGUAGAGACGGGGUUUCACCAUCUUGUCCAGGAUGGUCUUUAUCUCUUGACCUCGGGAUUCACCUGCCUCGGCCUCCCAAAGUGCUAGGAUUACAGCCGUGAGCCACAAUUCUGUUUUCAACACGAACUGCCUUUGAAGCUCAGACCCACCUGUCUACUUCUUCUACUUUUCAUGCUUUUUCACUGGAGGAAAUCUAGGAGUCAUCCAGCAUCCAGGGAGAAUACUCAGAGGGCGGGGGUGAGUCAAGUGGACCCAACCGGGCUUCUUCUAUGGAGGGUUGAAGCCAAAUCGACCAGCUACUCAAGGAUCUGUUCAAAAUUGCAAGUAACAUUCUUGACCUCCAGAUUAAAAAGAAGGAGAAAGAGAAGGAGAAGGAGAAGGAGGAGCAGGAGGAGGAGGAGGAGGAGGAGGAAGAGGAGGAAGAGGAGGAGAAGGAGAAGUGGAAGAGGAAGAGGAGAAGGAAGAGAAGGAAGAGGAGGAGGAGAAACCUGAAAGACUAAUUAAUACCAUGGAAAGCACUUUGGAAUUGCUUUCUAAACUUGCCAUAGUGAAAACAAAUGGACGUUUUGAUUAAAUGGAUAUCAUUAGGAUGGUAUGUUAUGAUCUCAACCCCUGGUUUAAUGAUCUUAUUAAGACCAAGAAAAAUUCAUUAUGGACUCUCAGAUCAAAUAAUUCAUUUUACAGAGCCAAGGAAAAAAGACUAUCUGUUUGCUCAGGAUAGAAAGACUAUCUUGAAUGUAAGCAAAAAAAAAAAAAAAAAAAAAAAAGAAAUUCAGCACUGAGAAGUGUAUAUAACUAUCUUUAUUUCAAAGUGGGGAAAAGCAUAGUCAAAGACAACAGUGAAAAGCACAGACUGGGGUGGAAAGAAUGUAGGUCAUGGAGGAGCUUUUGCUUCCAGUCAUUCUUUGCCAUACUUUGCCUCAGCCCAUCCACCCCAAAAGGAGGAACUGUGUGAUGAUGUGAUAGGGUGGAUAAACUGGGAUAAUUACAACCUCAUCACUUUUACUUGGAUUAAGCAAGAGGAUUAAGACAAAAUUGCCAAGGAGUGUAAAGAAGACAGAUUACAGACAGGAAAUCAGGAGAAGCAGUGGUGAGUAACUGGAAGAGAAUAGCAUGAGAAACAAAAUAGGAGAAGGAAGUGGAAACGGAACGGAUAAAAAUUAAAUCAGGGAGCAUCCAUGAGACUCAUAAGGAAUGCUACAUGCCACCAAGAGACAGUGUUUGCCCCCAAAAUGCUGUCAUUGAGACCUGUACUAUAAGGACUCGUUACAUUGAGAAAGAUGAUGGAAUGUCUUUUGGCUGAGGUCUUCACCUAAAUAUUUGAAGAAAAAAAAUAAACUAUUAGACUACUGAGGAGCUCCCACUUGAAAGUGUUUAAGAUCAAUUCACCUAAAACCUUAAGGGCAAAAAUUUAACAACACUGCCUGUGGCUUUGCCAAUGGCAAUCUAUUUUCUGUGUCUUGUCAGGGCACACUGAAGGGAGGUUAUAGCUAACUGCUGGCAGUCUUCUUUCAUGUCUCCCUUGAACACAAUACUUCAAGCCAAACCAUUUUGACAUUGCUUUAUCUGUUCAGGCUUGACUACAUAGAGCAUUAAGACCUCAGCCACAUGAACAGGGAAGGGAAAAGAUAGAGGUUUAAUCAGGCAGGAGGAUGGAUAGAAAAAUUAGACUAACUGUAAAGCAGCAUCUUUAAAGUAGUCAACUACUGUGCAAACUUUGUAAAUUCUGCUUGAUUAGAUUAAGAAUUAAUGUCUGAGAAUGUCCAAUGCAGAGUGAGGUCCAACCAGUAAAUUAUGCUCAAACUCAAAUCAGUGGGAUGCUACACGUUUUAUUAUGAGUGGAAACAAUGGCUUAGGUUAGAGAGCAGGGGAUGAUAAAAUACAACUAGAGGAUAAAAAAUGAGUACAAUGUCAAAACUCUACCCUUUGAAUAGAGCAAUAAAUGAGGAUGAUAGCUGAAUCAAAAUAACUGGGCCACAUGACAGAGGAGUAUAUAAAGUUUGUGACCUUACGUACUCACAGAUGCUAAGGUUUUACCCUCUAGCACAAUGGAAUGGUGAUAGGUUCACUGUCUAGAGAACUGAGCCUGUUGAUAUCUUUUUGCCCAUUUCCCAUCUAGUUGAGAUGGAAAAAGCAUCCAUGGGUAAAACUAGCAGGAUGGGAAAGGCGGUAGUUGACAGAACACACUACCACAUUUGAUAUAGGUCAUUGCCUCUGCUUCUUUCUGCUGAUGGGACUUCUUGUCUGCUAAACUAGACAGUCCCAUGUGUCAUGCAAUUACUUCUUCCAGUCACCUGUAUAUUACCUUGUUACCACUUCCUUCACAGCCAGGGUGCAGAGGGAUCUUCUGUCUUUCCUGAAGACUGAAUUUCAUAACAAUCUUCCCAGGGGACCUUGUGGUACAGUAGAGAAAGCACAAGUUUUAGAGUCCGGCAGAAAUUAAAUUUCAAUUACAUAAAUGUUACUUGGGUUCUGUGUUUUACAUAAGGCUCAGUUCCUUAUCUGUGAAUGGAUAUAGUAUUGUCUAUCUUAGGAUGCUAUUGAGAUAAUUAAAUGAGAAAUAAAACAUUUAAAAUCUCUAGCUCACUGGCUGACACUCAACAAGUGUGAAUUUCCUUCACCCCACCCUAUAUCAUCUUUGCCCUUCUCUUACAUAGGGUUUCAUGGGACUCACCUUCUGCCGGUUAAUGUACUCUAUCUUUGUGGUCCUCCAUGGCAUCUUACCUUCAAGCACAACACAUGCCAUUGGGUAUUGUUUUACUCAAGGAUGGUCAGGUGUGUUCCUCUAAUGGCUCGUGGGGAAAAACAAUCUCUCUGUUUAAUCAAGGGUGUCAUUACCAACCAGAUGGUUGAAUAUCUAGAAUUAAUCAGUUAUUGGGUACCUGUAGAAUUUAAAAAACAGAAGGCUGCCAAGUUAAGACAGCCUUGACAAUUUGUGUAUACCUUGAAAUUUUGUAUACACAUUGGCAGAAGUAAUACAAACUUUACAUCAUUUCCAUCUUAUUAUAGAGUUGAUACUAAUUGGAUCUCAAUAAGCCUUGACUCUCGUUAAACGAUGCAAAUAUAACCUACCUUUUCUUUCCCUUGCCAAGGUUUUUUUUUUUCUGCUGUUGUUGCUGUUUGUUUUGAUGUGUUUUAUGUUAUUUUGUAUUAUUUGGAUUUGCCAUACCAUGGUUACAAACAGAAGAGGUUAAAAUAUUCUUGAAAAUGCAUCAAUAAAUAAUUUAUGUUGUCUCUUAAUCAAAUAACAUAAUGUAUCAGGAUGUUUGCAUUUAGAAUGUUACCG